Apis dorsata (giant honeybee) is the source of this 695-nucleotide long non-coding RNA. RefSeq lists it as uncharacterized. NCBI's taxonomy places the organism in Eukaryota, Metazoa, Arthropoda, Insecta, Hymenoptera, Apidae. The record is from RefSeq and is a predicted model, not a curated record. The transcript is spliced from 2 exons.
CAGACUGGUUAUAUAUACACACACACACAAGCGUAUACACACGGGAACACGACCGUUUAUUUGCUUUGUAUCCUGUAAAUAAUCGGCGAAGCGUUUGCUCCCACCUUUAACGAUAUUAGGAAAAGCCGCACCCAACUGCACCCCCUACGGUCGUUAACCCCAUACAUAUGUACUACGUACCAUCGUCUCGUUUAUCAGGGUACAUUUAUAGAACACGCGAUAGUCUACGGUUAAAAGGUGAAUUUUUUCGUAUUUACAAUUACAUUAAGAGCGUGUGAUAAGAAACGAGAAUAAAAAAAUAUAUAUAAAUAUAUAUUGUUAAUUAAUGUAGGACCGUACUUAGGAAAUUCUAUUACAUAUAUAUAAAUAAUACCUAUCUAUAUACUGCGAUCAAUUUUUGACAAUAUACGUGUAAUUUAUGAUUCGAGACGUUAUGUUAAUUCUCUCGUUUUAUCCAUCCGAUAGUUCACGCCUUCCAUUUGUAUUCCUUGUGCGUCCGUAGGAUGUAAUAAUAAUCUCUCUUUCAAAGGAAUGUCGAAUGAAAGCGGAUGUAACAAUACGCGUAUAAUUUCGUGCGUGCAAACGAUUCGCCCGACAUCGGCGGAUUUUGAUGAUCGUGAGUGUAAAUGUUACUUUAUUACACUUUCUUGAACGUGAUAAUUUUAAAAUCUCUGUACUUUGCGAGAAAAAAAAAA